UAGGUUUAACAAUAACAUUUUCAUCCUUCACACAAUUCAAUAAAAUUUCAUGGGUUUAACCUAAACAUUUUCAGCAUUCACAUAAUUCAAUUAAAUUUCAUGGGUUUAACAUCAACAAUUUCAUCAUUCCUAUAUUUCAAUUUUUCUUCAAGUGUUUAACAACAACAUUUUCAUCAUUCACACAAUUCAAUCAAACUACAUAGGUUUAACAAUAACAUUUUCAUCCUUCACACAAUUCAAUAAAAUUUCAUGGGUUUAACCUAAACAUUUUCAUCAUUCACAGAAUUCAAUCAAAUUUCAU
This 301-nucleotide long non-coding RNA is filed under the name Lathyrus oleraceus (garden pea). RNAcentral describes it as "Pisum sativum (pea) long non-coding RNA (PSAT_LNC038055)". Lineage: Eukaryota; Viridiplantae; Streptophyta; Magnoliopsida; Fabales; Fabaceae. The record is from RNAcentral.